This 73-nucleotide transfer RNA is filed under the name Canis lupus familiaris (dog). It matches the Rfam family "tRNA". From Rfam's summary of the family: Transfer RNA (tRNA) molecules are approximately 80 nucleotides in length. Their secondary structure includes four short double-helical elements and three loops (D, anti-codon, and T loops). Lineage: Eukaryota; Metazoa; Chordata; Mammalia; Carnivora; Canidae. The record is from Rfam by way of RNAcentral.
GCCUGGCUGGCUCAAUUGGUAGAGCAUGCCACUCUUGACCUCCUCGUUGUGAGUUUGAGCCUCAUGUUAGGCA